RNAcentral lists this ribosomal RNA (406 nucleotides) under uncultured Klebsiella sp. RNAcentral's name for it is "bacterial SSU rRNA". It matches the Rfam family "Bacterial small subunit ribosomal RNA", at positions 347 to 745 of the family's 1533-position model. The record is from RNAcentral. Lineage: Bacteria; Pseudomonadati; Pseudomonadota; Gammaproteobacteria; Enterobacterales; Enterobacteriaceae.
GGCAGCAGUGGGGAAUAUUGCACAAUGGGCGCAAGCCUGAUGCAGCCAUGCCGCGUGUGUGAAGAAGGCCUUCGGGUUGUAAAGCACUUUCAGCGGGGAGGAAGGCGGURAGGUUAAUAACCUYRUCGAUUGACGUUACCCGCAGAAGAAGCACCGGCUAACUCCGUGCCAGCAGCCGCGGUAAUACGGAGGGUGCAAGCGUUAAUCGGAAUUACUGGGCGUAAAGCGCACGCAGGCGGUCUGUCAAGUCGGAUGUGAAAUCCCCGGGCUCAACCUGGGAACUGCAUUCGAAACUGGCAGGCUAGAGUCUUGUAGAGGGGGGUAGAAUUCCAGGUGUAGCGGUGAAAUGCGUAGAGAUCUGGAGGAAUACCGGUGGCGAAGGCGGCCCCCUGGACAAAGACUGACG